RNAcentral lists this transfer RNA (73 nucleotides) under Camelus bactrianus (Bactrian camel). It matches the Rfam family "tRNA". Rfam says of the family: Transfer RNA (tRNA) molecules are approximately 80 nucleotides in length. Their secondary structure includes four short double-helical elements and three loops (D, anti-codon, and T loops). RNAcentral also lists the same sequence under 1 other name. The record is from Rfam by way of RNAcentral. Lineage: Eukaryota; Metazoa; Chordata; Mammalia; Artiodactyla; Camelidae.
AGGGGUAUAUCUCAGUGGUAGAGUGUUUGCUUAGCAUGAAUGAGGUCCUGGGUUCAAUCCCCAUGUAUCUCCA